GAUGAACGCUGGCGGCGUGCCUAAUACAUGCAAGUCGAGCGAACGGGCGAGGCGCUUGCUUUUUUGAUGUUAGCGGCGGACGGGUGAGUCACACGUGGAUAACCCACCUAUCAUACUGGGAUAACCUCGGGACACCGGAGCUAAUCCCGGAUAAUCUUUUGAACCGCAUGGUUCAAUAGUGAAAGACGGUCUUGCUGUCACUUAUAGCUGGAUCCGCGCUGCAUUAGCUAGUUGGGAAGGUAACGGCUUACCAAGGCUAGCAUGCAUGGCCGACGUGAGAGGGUGAUCGGCCACACGGGAACUGAGACACGGUCCAGACUACUACGGGAGGCAGCAGUAGGGAAUCUUCCGCAAUGGGCGAAAGCCUGACGGAGCAACGGCGCGUGAGUGAUGAAGGUCUUCGGAUCGUAAAACCCUGUUAUUGGGGAAGAACAGAUGUGGAAGUAACUGUACACAGCGUGACGGUACCUAAUCAGAAAGCCACGGCUAACUACGUG
RNAcentral lists this ribosomal RNA (497 nucleotides) under uncultured bacterium. RNAcentral's name for it is "partial 16S ribosomal RNA". It matches the Rfam family "Bacterial small subunit ribosomal RNA", at positions 28 to 507 of the family's 1533-position model. The record is from RNAcentral.